CUAAGCUGUGUGUAAGCCAUGCUCAGGAGCUCUCAUUGCUUGCUGCAUGCAGGGGUAGUGAGAUGCAGUCAGACUGCUUCUGUUAUCUGCCUGCAGCACAGGGAUAUGUGAACAGCUGUAGAGAUCAUCCCCUUGUGUCCAUUUCCCAAACCCUUUGGCUGGCUGCUCUUUCUUAUACCAGUAAAGGUAUGCUGAUGCUGCAGGUGAGCUGCUAGGUCCUAAUGCCGACCGUUUUCUUGCCUUGGACUAAAAACGAAAUCCAAGCCACUUACAAAGCAUUUCUUCAGCCCAUCAGCUACCUGACUUUUCUGGGAGGCGGCUGAAACAGAGUCUUCUUGGAGAUCAGGCUUUUGGAAAAAAUGGGCUAUUGCAGUGGCAGGUGCACACUGAUAUUUAUCUGUGGGAUGCAACUGG
RNAcentral lists this long non-coding RNA (414 nucleotides) under Pelobates cultripes (western spadefoot toad). The record is from RNAcentral. Lineage: Eukaryota; Metazoa; Chordata; Amphibia; Anura; Pelobatidae.